GUGCUCCCUUCGGCAGCACAUACACUAAAAUUGGAACAACACAGAGAAGGUUAGCAUGGCCCCUGAGCAAGGAUGACACACAAAUUCGUGAAGCAUUCCAUAUUUUU
RNAcentral lists this small nuclear RNA (107 nucleotides) under Octodon degus (degu). Lineage: Eukaryota; Metazoa; Chordata; Mammalia; Rodentia; Octodontidae. The record is from RNAcentral.